AAAGCCUGUCUCAGUUCGGAUUGGAGUCUGCAACCCGACUCCAUGAAGCUGGAUUCGCUAGUAAUCGCGCAUCAGCCACGGCGCGGUGAAUACGUUCCCGGGCCUUGUACACACCGCCCGUCAAGCCAUGGAAGCCGGGAGUGCCUGAAGUGCGUGACCGCAAGGAGCGUCCUAAGGCAAUACCGGUGACUGGGGCUAAGUCGUAACAAGGUAUC
Molecule: ribosomal RNA, 215 nt
Filed under: uncultured bacterium
Lineage: Bacteria
Description: partial 16S ribosomal RNA
Rfam family: Bacterial small subunit ribosomal RNA
Source: RNAcentral